Molecule: transfer RNA, 74 nt
Filed under: Pelodiscus sinensis (Chinese soft-shelled turtle)
Lineage: Eukaryota; Metazoa; Chordata; Testudines; Trionychidae
Rfam family: tRNA
About the family: Transfer RNA (tRNA) molecules are approximately 80 nucleotides in length. Their secondary structure includes four short double-helical elements and three loops (D, anti-codon, and T loops). Further hydrogen bonds mediate the characteristic L-shaped molecular structure. tRNAs have two regions of fundamental functional importance: the anti-codon, which is responsible for specific mRNA codon recognition, and the 3' end, to which the tRNAs corresponding amino acid is attached (by aminoacyl-tRNA synthetases). tRNAs cope with the degeneracy of the genetic code in two manners: having more than one tRNA (with a specific anti-codon) for a particular amino acid; and 'wobble' base-pairing, i.e. permitting non-standard base-pairing at the 3rd anti-codon position.
Source: Rfam by way of RNAcentral
GGCACCAUGGCUUAGUUAGCUAAAGUGCCUGCCUUGUAAACAGGUAAUCCCGGGUUCAAGUCCUAGUGGUACUU